UGGGGAAUAUUGCACAAUGGGGGAAACCCUGAUGCAGCGACGCCGCGUGAACGAAGAAGGUAUUCGUAUCGUAAAGUUCUGUCCUAUGGGAAAAUAAUGACAGUACCAUAGAAGAAAGCUCCGGCUAAAUACGUGCCAGCAGCCGCGGUAAUACGUAUGGAGCGAGCGUUGUCCGGAAUUAUUGGGCGUAAAGGGUACGCAGGCGGUUUAAUAAGUCGAAUGUUAAAGAUCGGGGCUCAACCCCGCAAAGCAUUGGAAACUGAUAAACUUGAGUAGUGGAGAGGAAAGUGGAAUUCCUAGUGUAGUGGUGAAAUACGUAGAUAUUAGGAGGAAUACCAGUAGCGAAGGCGACUUUCUGGACACAAACUGACGCUGAGGUACGAAAGCGUGGGGAGCAAACAGG
This 403-nucleotide ribosomal RNA is filed under the name bacterium. Its description in RNAcentral is "partial 16S ribosomal RNA". It matches the Rfam family "Bacterial small subunit ribosomal RNA", at positions 355 to 776 of the family's 1533-position model. The record is from RNAcentral.